Non-coding RNA from Acanthosepion pharaonis, 111 nucleotides. The record is from the annotation of a GenBank genome assembly. NCBI's taxonomy places the organism in Eukaryota, Metazoa, Mollusca, Cephalopoda, Sepiida, Sepiidae.
ACGGCUAUCUCUCGUUGAAACACCAGUUCCUGUACAAUCACCGAAAUUAAGCAACAUCGAGCCUGGUCAGUACGUAGAUGGGUGACCGCUUAGGAAUACUAGGUGCUGUAA